AGUGAACGCUGGCGGUAGGCCUAACACAUGCAAGUCGAACGGCAGCACAGUAAGAGCUUGCUCUUACGGGUGGCGAGUGGCGGACGGGUGAGGAAUACAUCGGAAUCUACUUUUUCGUGGGGGAUAACGUAGGGAAACUUACGCUAAUACCGCAUACGACCUACGGGUGAAAGCAGGGGAUCUUCGGACCUUGCGCGAUUGAAUGAGCCGAUGUCGGAUUAGCUAGUUGGCGGGGUAAAGGCCCACCAAGGCGACGAUCCGUAGCUGGUCUGAGAGGAUGAUCAGCCACACUGGAACUGAGACACGGUCCAGACUCCUACGGGAGGCAGCAGUGGGGAAUAUUGGACAAUGAGCGCAAGCCUGGUCCAGCCAUACCGCGUGGAUGAAGAAGGCCUUCGGGUUGUAAAGCCCUUUUGUUGGGGAAGAAAAGCAGCAGGUUAAUACCCCGCUGUUCUGACGGUACCCAAAGAAUAAGCACCGGCUAACUUCGUG
Molecule: ribosomal RNA, 492 nt
Filed under: uncultured bacterium
Lineage: Bacteria
Description: partial 16S ribosomal RNA
Rfam family: Bacterial small subunit ribosomal RNA
Source: RNAcentral